This 91-nucleotide ribosomal RNA is filed under the name Vibrio cholerae. Its description in RNAcentral is "partial 16S ribosomal RNA". It matches the Rfam family "Bacterial small subunit ribosomal RNA", at positions 1448 to 1533 of the family's 1533-position model. Lineage: Bacteria; Pseudomonadati; Pseudomonadota; Gammaproteobacteria; Vibrionales; Vibrionaceae. The record is from RNAcentral.
GGACGCUUGCCACUUUGUGGUUCAUGACUGGGGUGAAGUCGUAACAAGGUAGCGCUAGGGGAACCUGGCGCUGGAUCACCUCCUUACACGA